RNAcentral lists this ribosomal RNA (544 nucleotides) under uncultured bacterium. RNAcentral describes it as "partial 16S ribosomal RNA". It matches the Rfam family "Bacterial small subunit ribosomal RNA", at positions 355 to 887 of the family's 1533-position model. The record is from RNAcentral.
UGGGGAAUAUUGCACAAUGGGCGCAAGCCUGAUGCAGCCAUGCCGCGUGUGUGAAGAAGGCCUUCGGGUUGUAAAGCACUUUCAGCGAGGAGGAAGGUGGUGAGCUUAAUACGCUCAUCAAUUGACGUUACUCGCAGAAGAAGCACCGGCUAACUCCGUGCCAGCAGCCGCGGUAAUACGGAGGGUGCAAGCGUUAAUCGGAAUUACUGGGCGUAAAGCGCACGCAGGCGGUUUGUUAAGUCAGAUGUGAAAUCCCCGGGCUCAACCUGGGAACUGCAUUUGAAACUGGCAAGCUAGAGUCUCGUAGAGGGGGGUAGAAAUUCCAGGUGUAGCGGUGAAAUGCGUAGAGAUCUGGAGGAAUACCGGUGGCGAAGGCGGCCCCCUGGACGAAGACUGACGCUCAGGUGCGAAAAGCGUGGGGAGCAAAACAGGAUUAGAUACCCUGGUAGUCCACGCUGUAAACGAUGUCGAUUUUGGAGGUUGUGCCCUUGAGGCGUGGCUUCCGGAGCUAACGCGUUAAAUCGACCGCCUGGGGAGUACGGCC